GGGCGGUUAGCUCAGCGGUAGAGCACUGCUUUCACACGGCAGGGGUCACAAGUUCGAACCUUGUACCGCCCACCA
RNAcentral lists this transfer RNA (75 nucleotides) under Pseudoxanthomonas japonensis. RNAcentral's name for it is "tRNA-Val". It matches the Rfam family "tRNA". Rfam says of the family: Transfer RNA (tRNA) molecules are approximately 80 nucleotides in length. The record is from RNAcentral. RNAcentral also lists the same sequence under 10 other names. Lineage: Bacteria; Pseudomonadati; Pseudomonadota; Gammaproteobacteria; Lysobacterales; Lysobacteraceae.